AGUGAACGCUGGCGGUAGGCCUAACACAUGCAAGUCGAACGGCAGCACAGGAGAGCUUGCUCUCUGGGUGGCGAGUGGCGGACGGGUGAGGAAUACAUCGGAAUCUACUCUGUCGUGGGGGAUAACGUAGGGAAACUUACGCUAAUACCGCAUACGACCUACGGGUGAAAGCAGGGGAUCUUCGGACCUUGCGCGAUUGAAUGAGCCGAUGUCGGAUUAGCUAGUUGGCGGGGUAAAGGCCCACCAAGGCGACGAUCCGUAGCUGGUCUGAGAGGAUGAGCAGCCACACUGUAACUGCGACACGGUCCAGACUCCUACGGGAGGCAGCAGUGGGGAAUAUUGGACAAUGGGCGCAAGCCUGAUCCAGCCAUACCGCGUGGGUGAAGAAGGCCUUCGGGUUGUAAAUCCCUUUUGUUGGGAAAGAAAUCCAGCUGGCUAAUACCCGGUUGGGAUGACGGUACCCAAAGAAUAAGCACCGGCUAACUUCGUGCCAGCCGCCGCCGUAA
Molecule: ribosomal RNA, 506 nt
Filed under: uncultured bacterium
Lineage: Bacteria
Description: partial 16S ribosomal RNA
Rfam family: Bacterial small subunit ribosomal RNA
Source: RNAcentral